RNAcentral lists this ribosomal RNA (380 nucleotides) under uncultured bacterium. RNAcentral's name for it is "bacterial SSU rRNA". It matches the Rfam family "Bacterial small subunit ribosomal RNA", at positions 30 to 417 of the family's 1533-position model. The record is from RNAcentral.
AUUGAACGCUGGCGGCAUGCCUUACACAUGCAAGUCGAACGGUAGAGUAGCAAUACUUGAGAGUGGCGAACGGGUGAGUAAUAUAUCGGAACGUGCCCAACUGUGGGGGAUAACGUAGAGAAAUUUACGCUAAUACCGCAUACGAUCUAAGGAUGAAAGCGGGGGAUCGCAAGACCUCGCGCAGUUGGAGCGGCUGAUAUCAGAUUAGCUUGUUGGUGAGGUAAAAGCUCACCAAGGCGACGAUCUGUAGCUGGUUUGAGAGAACGACCAGCCACACUGGGACUGAGACACGGCCCAGACUCCUACGGGAGGCAGCAGUGGGGAAUUUUGGACAAUGGCGCAAGCCUGAUCCAGCCAUUCCGCGUGAGUGAAGAAAGGCC